This is a long non-coding RNA of Hyla sarda, 255 nucleotides long. RefSeq lists it as uncharacterized. NCBI's taxonomy places the organism in Eukaryota, Metazoa, Chordata, Amphibia, Anura, Hylidae. The record is from RefSeq and is a predicted model, not a curated record. The transcript is spliced from 3 exons.
GCCUGGGUGAAGAGCUGUGCACAGAAUACCAUCACUUCUAUAGGAUUCUGCUUGCAAACGAGUGAGCAUAUUCAGAGCUGCCUGUAAAGAGAUAAGAAAAAUAUCUGGAAAACAGGAAGCAGUUUGCUCCAGGACAUACAUUCUAUAAACCGAAGCCCAAAACUGAACAGCAUCUUCCAUGUCAACUAACAGUUUUCGUUAGAAGAAAGAGGAGAGAGCUGGGUCCCAGCAAUCAGACAAGUGGCAGAGUAUCAC